Molecule: long non-coding RNA, 756 nt
Organism: Arvicola amphibius (Eurasian water vole)
Lineage: Eukaryota; Metazoa; Chordata; Mammalia; Rodentia; Cricetidae
Exons: 3
Source: RefSeq, a predicted model, not a curated record
AGUGCGUGUUUGUGUUUGUGUGUGUGUGUGUGUGUGUGUGUGUGUGUGUGAUCGUAUUAAUGAUUAAUUUUACUGAGUGAAACCAAGCCAUAAUGUUGAGCCAAUUAAGAAAACUGCAGUUUUUACAGUAUAUCAUGUCAGGGUAGCAAAGACCCAUGGGAUGACUUAGUGUACUCUAGACUACUGAGAGGAGCCACAAGAAGGACUUUGGUGAAAGUUUUCGUGUUGUGUGGAAAGCAAGAGAAGGCAGGAGACUGGAAUAGUGAAGAGAAGGGAAGGGAAAGAGGAGUUGUCAAAAGUAAAAAUGUCUGGCUGGGCCAGAGGAGCAGAGCGGAGACAGGAAAAGUCUGACCUGAGGGUGUGUAGGAAGUUGUAGAAGGCCAGAGGGAGCGUGAACUGUAUUUGCUUUGGUUUCUCAUACCUGCAAAUACUGAAUUUGAAAAGAAACCAUAAAAUGUGUUAGAAAUUUGACUAUGUUAGGUUAAUUCUGGUUGGAUUUCUUCAUUUAAAAAAGAAGCUGGUGAUUCUUGACUGCAAAAUGUUUGUGUUAGAAAUGUGGUCAUGCUCUUGAGGGAGGAAGACUGAGAUCCCAUGUAAACCCAGAUUUAAACUGGCAAUCAGUUCAAGUCAUUGUUAACCAUUAUGUGAAAUAUAUCUCCAGUGGAAAUGAAAAUUGGAAAAGGCUGUAAAUAGAACGAUCAAAUGAUUUCUUUGUAUAAAUGAAUUAUACAAUUAAAAAAAGCACAUACAUAAUAA